GAUGAACGCUGGCGGCGUGCCUAAUACAUGCAAGUCGAACGCAUAGCGAAAGGUGCUUGCACCUUUCAAGUGAGUGGCGAACGGGUGAGUAACACGUGGACAACCUGCCUCAAGGCUGGGGAUAACAUUUGGAAACAGAUGCUAAUACCGAAUAAAACUUAGUGUCGCAUGACACAAAGUUAAAAGGCGCUUCGGCGUCACCUAGAGAUGGAUCCGCGGUGCAUUAGUUAGUUGGUGGGGUAAAGGCCUACCAAGACAAUGAUGCAUAGCCGAGUUGAGAGACUGAUCGGCCACAUUGGGACUGAGACACGGCCCAAACUCCUACGGGAGGCUGCAGUAGGGAAUCUUCCACAAUGGGCGAAAGCCUGAUGGAGCACCGCCGCGUGUGUGAUGAAGGCUUUCGGGUCGUAAAGCACUGUUGUAUGGGAAGAACAGCUAGAAUAGGAAAUGAUUUUAGUUUGACGGUACCAGACCAGAAAGGGACGGCUAAAUACGUG
RNAcentral lists this ribosomal RNA (497 nucleotides) under uncultured bacterium. RNAcentral describes it as "partial 16S ribosomal RNA". It matches the Rfam family "Bacterial small subunit ribosomal RNA", at positions 28 to 507 of the family's 1533-position model. The record is from RNAcentral.